GGGCGAGUGGUGGAAUGGCAGACACACAGGCUUCAGGAGCCUGCGCCCGCAAGGGCAUGAGGGUUCAAGUCCCUCCUCGCCCA
Molecule: transfer RNA, 83 nt
Filed under: bacterium
Lineage: Bacteria
Description: tRNA-Leu
Rfam family: tRNA
About the family: Transfer RNA (tRNA) molecules are approximately 80 nucleotides in length. Their secondary structure includes four short double-helical elements and three loops (D, anti-codon, and T loops).
Source: RNAcentral